This 516-nucleotide ribosomal RNA is filed under the name uncultured bacterium. Its description in RNAcentral is "bacterial SSU rRNA". It matches the Rfam family "Bacterial small subunit ribosomal RNA", at positions 8 to 518 of the family's 1533-position model. The record is from RNAcentral.
AGAGUUUGAUUCUGGCUCAGGAUGAACGCUAGCGGCAGGCUUAACACAUGCAAGUCGAGGGGCAGCGGGAUGUAGCAAUACAUUGCCGGCGACCGGCGGAUGGGUGCGUAACGCGUAUGCAACCUACCUUAUACAGGGGAAUAACCUUUCGAAAGGAGACUAACACCCCAUAGUAUUGAUUUAAGGCAUCUUAGAUUAAUUAAAUAUUUAUAGGUAUAAGAUGGGCAUGCGUAUGAUUAGCUAGUUGGUAAGGUAACGGCUUACCAAGGCGACGAUCAUUAGGGGUUCUGAGAGGAAGGUCCCCCACACUGGUACUGAGACACGGACCAGACUCCUACGGGAGGCAGCAGUGAGGAAUAUUGGACAAUGGAUGGAAAUCUGAUCCAGCCAUGUCGCGUGCAGGAAGACGGCCCUAUGGGUUGUAAACUGCUUUUGUAUGGGAGCAAUAAGGGCUACGUGUAGUCCGAUGAGAGUACCAUACGAAUAAGCACCGGCUAACUCCGUGCCAGCCGCCGC